This 510-nucleotide ribosomal RNA is filed under the name uncultured bacterium. RNAcentral describes it as "partial 16S ribosomal RNA". It matches the Rfam family "Bacterial small subunit ribosomal RNA", at positions 28 to 507 of the family's 1533-position model. The record is from RNAcentral.
GACGAACGCUGGCGGCGUGCUUAACACAUGCCAGUCGAACGAAGAGCGAUGGAUGCUUGCUUCUAUCAAUCUUAGUGGCGAACGGGAGAGUAACGCGUAUUCCCCCUGCCCUUCAGUGGGGUACAACAGUUGGAACCGACUGCUCAUGCCGCAUACGAUCUAACCCGGGCAUCCAGGAUACCUCAAACGUCGCCUUUAUCUAUUAUCUGUCACUGUAGUUGGCGAUUGCGACUGAUUAGCUAGCUGGGGGGGUAACGGCCCAACAAGGCGAUAUUCAGUAGCCGGUCUGAGAGGAAGAACGGGCACAAUGGGAAUGGGACACGGCCCAGACUCCUACGGGGAGCAGCAGGUGGGGAUCUUCCGAAAUGGAGGGAAGGCUGAAGGAGGAACGGCGGGUGAGGGAUGACGGCCUUCGGGUUGUAAAGCUCCGUUAAUCGGGACGGAAGGCCUUCUUGCGAAUAGUUAGAAGGAUUGACGGUACCGGAAGAGAAAGCCACGGCUAACUACGUG